CAGUAGCCGCGGGAAUACAGAGGGUGCGAGCGUUAAUCGGAUUUACUGGGCGUAAAGCGUGCGUAGGCGGCUUUUUAAGUCGGAUGUGAAAUCCCUGAGCUUAACUUAGGAAUUGCAUUCGAUACUGGGAAGAUAGAGUAUGGGAGAGGAUGGUAGAAUUCCAGGUGUAGCGGUGAAAUGCGUAGAGAUCUGGAGGAAUACCGAUGGCGAAGGCAGCCAUCUGGCCUAAUACUGACGCUGAGGUACGAAAGCAUGGGGAGCAAACAGGAUUAGAUACCCCCGUAGUCCCUGUCUCUUAUAC
This 301-nucleotide ribosomal RNA is filed under the name uncultured bacterium. RNAcentral describes it as "partial 16S ribosomal RNA". It matches the Rfam family "Bacterial small subunit ribosomal RNA", at positions 509 to 807 of the family's 1533-position model. The record is from RNAcentral.